Molecule: ribosomal RNA, 253 nt
Filed under: uncultured bacterium
Lineage: Bacteria
Description: partial 16S ribosomal RNA
Rfam family: Bacterial small subunit ribosomal RNA
Source: RNAcentral
UACGAAGGGGGCUAGCGUUGUUCGGAUUUACUGGGCGUAAAGCGCACGUAGGCGGAUUGUUAAGUGAGGGGUGAAAUCCCAGGGCUCAACCCUGGAACUGCCUUUCAUACUGGCAAUCUCGAGUCCGGAAGAGGUGAGUGGAACUCCUAGUGUAGAGGUGGAAUUCGUAGAUAUUAGGAAGAACACCAGUGGCGAAGGCGGCUCACUGGUCCGGUACUGACGCUGGGGUGCGAAAGCGUGGGGAGCAAACAGG